GCCUUCGUAGUGUAAUUGGAAGCACACUAGACCCGAAUUCGAGAGGUUCAGGGUUCGAGUCCCAGCGAAGGCA
This 73-nucleotide transfer RNA is filed under the name Stegodyphus mimosarum. It matches the Rfam family "tRNA". Rfam says of the family: Transfer RNA (tRNA) molecules are approximately 80 nucleotides in length. Lineage: Eukaryota; Metazoa; Arthropoda; Arachnida; Araneae; Eresidae. The record is from Rfam by way of RNAcentral.